GGAAGAAGUAGGGCAAGAUGAGAGGGAAAAGCCGAGAAAGCCAGGCCCCGCAGCAGGAGCGGGGAAACACCCGCCUGGAAUUGGCCGAGACCACGACUCCCGCGGUCCGAUGGCCCGGCCUCCCCACCCCCACGCGCCGCAAAGCCGCCCUCGCAGACACCUCCCGAAGCAGCUCGCAGCCCCGCGGGCGCCAGAACAACAUGAUGGUUCUCAACCAUGGCUGUACAUUAGAAGAAUCACCUAAGGGAACACUUAAAAAAAACCACAACUGAAGUCUUGCAGCCAUUGCUAGAAGCAUUUUUUAAGGCACUCAUUUGAGAAGUUCUUUGAAGAGCAUAUGCCUCAUUAUUUGGGAAUCACUUCAAAAACUGCAAGUACUCAUGUUGUUGAAGAUGGAUUGGGCUUUUUGAAGGAGACAAGAUGAUUUCGCACAAGCUAAUGAAUAAGGGGGUCGGCCGGAGACAGAGUCAUCGGGUGUCGAAGACAAACCAAAACAAAACCCUGCGUUUUUUUGUUUUUUUUUUUUUAAAGAUUUAUUUAUUUAUUUGAGAGAGCGAGAAAGUACGUGAGAGGGGGGAGGGUUAGAGGGAGAAGCAGGCUCCUCGCCGAGCAGGAAGCCCGAUGCGGGACUCGAUCCAGGGACUCCAGGAUCAUGACCUGAGCUGAAGGCAGUCGCUCAACCAACUGAGCCACCCAGGUGCCCCAAAACCCUGAGUUUUAACUAUAAACACACUCCACAGAAUUCUUAGAAUAGUUUAAAGUGCUAAUUUGGAAGGAAGUUUCCAAAGUACUUCCAAAAAGAUCUUGAGCAACAGAACCAUCUCCACCCACAAAAAUAACUGUCAUUUAUUGAGUGCUUACUAUCUGCCAGGCACUCUUCUUGACACACAUUCUAUCAAGAUUUUGUUUGCUCUCUGCAUGUCAGUGAUUAAUCCUGUUAGAGAAAUUAAAGGGCAGAAAAACGAGACUUUUUCUACAUCAGACAUCAGGGAUGGGCUGAGGGAAAGCCAGGCAGACUGGGAGUCUCUCUGUCUGCCCAAGGCCCCAUGUGGGCAAUUAUCCUUAAGUCUAUUAUACCCAUCUUAUAAGAAGAGAGGUUAGGUAACUGCCCAUGGUCAUAACCAGGUAAACAGUAGAACUGUACUUAUCUGCAUAGAGGUAUUUAUUGGGAAAUCUCUCCUCUCCAAAAAGUUAGCAUUCCUUUGAAUGAAUGCACUCUGAUAUAUUUGGGUUUUUUGAAAUUUAUCAUAAUACUCAAGCUUCUCUUAAUUGAUACAAAAACAGAACACUGCAACAGAUAUGCAGGAUCAAUGGAACCUGGGGCCUAAACCACUAGGAACAGGGCUUUGCAAAUGUACAGAAAUCCCCAAUGCCUAGGGGAACCAUUAUGAGACCCUUUCAAAUAGGAAGCAGAAAUGAGCCUCAUAAAAACCUGGAAAUGAGCAACAGAUAAUGGCAUUCAUAUCCAGAUACCAUUAUGCUUAUGUGGAGAAUUUAAGCUGGUGAUACAUAGAAUAAUUAUGUAUUAUAUUUAAUUAUAUAAAAACUGCCCAGCCUAGGUGUUUAAAAGCUGAGUUUAAACCUGGUUCUGGAAUCUGCUGACUGGGUAGUGAAUUAUCCUUCAGGGCCUCAGUAUCUUAGUCGCAAAGUGGGGAUGACCACAUCACCCUCUUUAUGGGGUCACACAAGAAUCAAAUACAUAUGUUAAGCUAUUCCAGUGGUGCCCAGCACACAGUAAGCACUUUAUAAAUGUUAGAUAUUAUUAGGGGCGCCUGGGUGACUCAGUGGGCUGUGUCUGACUCCUGCUCAGGUCAUGAUCUCAGGGUCCUGGGAUCGAGCCCCGUGUGGGGCUCCUUGCUCAACGGGGAGCCUGUUUCUCCCUUUCCCUCUGCCAUUCCCCCCACUUGUGCUCUCUGGCUCUCUCUGUCAAAUAAAUAAAAUCUUUAAAAAAAUUUUUUUAAAUGUUAGCUAUUAUUAAUAUUUAUGUACAAAUACAUUAAUUUUCUAAGGGUCAUUAUCUGAGAUAGAGCACAACAGGACAGAGACAUUCAUAUUCUACAAGUGUUCUUAGUCUUUGACAGUGGUGCUUUAAUUCAAUUAGACUACAUCAGGUAUGAGUUUUUUGAGCUUUAGGAGGAUUUUCCUUGCCAACAUUACACAGUGUCUGAAAUUAAUUAAAUGACAGUUGCUAAAGUGGAAAGUUUCCAGGAUCAUUUCUGUAUAAUCCCUCAAAAAAGAAUAAUUUGGCAUAGACUCCUUAUGAAGAUGAAUAAACACUUUUUUUUUCCUGUACAGAACUUUGUGAUCUUCAAAAUAUUUGCCUACAGUUUUAUUUUUAUGACAUGAGGCAGCCACAGUCUAAAUUUGCAGAUCAAUAGAAUAGAUGAUAAUGUUUUCCACCAUGGAAUGUUCUCAUAUCAUUAAGUCUGGACUUAUUAACAGCCCUAUUUACAAAUUAAUGGAGAGGGGAAUUUUCCCUGGUUUCCUAAUUUAGAAUGCUGAUUUCAUACAAAAUGAGAGAGACUAUGUGAUGGGGACCCUGGAGUACGUACCAACAGUGGGAAGUGUCUGCUUUUGCCCCCAGAGCCCUGCCUUUGCCCCUAUCUUACAAUGAGAAUGAGGCCAGGGAAUGUUCCGCUGGGGCUUUCUGUAAAUUGUAGCUAACUCAAUGGCCACCAGAAGUAGAACCCCAAAGGCGGAGCCUCACAGCCCCAAUGCAAAAAAAAUGGCAACUGGGUAUCAUUAACAUACUACAGUUUAUCCAGACGUUAAGUGUAUUACGGAUGAAAUAGGCUUUUGUCCAAUUACCUGGGAAGCCAACCACUAAAAUAGUCUUUUCUGUGGGACAAUGCCUGCCGAGUUCCAAAUAAUCAAUCUGCAAAUGAACUUCUGGAUGUAAGUGUUUAUAAAUUCAUGGUUAUUUGGUUUAAUUUGAAACCCUCUUGCAGCUCAUGCCAAUCAUGCAGCUUUUACUUGGUUACCUCUCCAGGAAAACCUGUGAAGACUAAACAGAAUUACUGAUGGUUUUAUUACUAUCUCAGAUUCUUUAUAUGUGAUCUAAAUAAAAUAUUUUUCAUCUGCCACAUAACUGACAGCUUUUCUAGUAAGACCAGAGAAAAUUCAUUAUACUGCACCUGUAUUAUUACAACGUUUCUUAUAUUUAAAAUUUUGCCUUUAUGGGCUUUAAAGAAUGAGUAUGUUAGUUAGCCUAACUUUACAUCAAUGUUUCUUUUCAUCUUAUUUUGAUCUUUGCCUCAAACACUCUGAUACCAUCCCAAUGUGAAAAUAUAUGUACCUCCAUUGGCCUUCCCCAAAAUACUCCUCUCCCUACAAAUCCUCCCAGAAUCUAUGCACUGGAUUAGGUUUUUCUGCAACUCUCAGUUACAGAGAUGCUGAAAGUAAUCUAAGGUGUUUGUAUAAAUGGGCGAUAGAAAAAUGGAAAUAGCACAAGAGCUGAUUAAAGCUAAAUUUAAAAUUAGAUGGGUUGCCUUGAUUAAUGGCAUAGCAACAGUGAUGACUGAUGGGUGGAGAACAUCCCAAUCCACACUAAUCUAGAUUCCGGAGCUCUGAGAGUGAAGGACUCUCAUCCCUACCUUAAAAUUAAUUUUUCAGAAAAAGCUCCCCCAGAGAAACAUUUAGAAAGACUAAACAAUUCUGGCAGCAUGAUCUACCUGAUAAGAGUAACUUUGUAAUUUUAACUUUUUCAAACCUAAUUCACUCUGUAGGAAGAGACAGCCAGUUACUGAACUAAGGCAGGGCCUCAGGUAAAGUACAAGUUCAUCUAAAUAGGGGAAUUAAGCACACAGAUCCUAAAAGUUUUAGAGAACACUGCAGGAUGCCCUGCUGCACCAUUCCAAAAAUCUACAUUUGUUCAGGUACACUGAUCAGGACAAGGAACAUUUGCACAUUUAUUGAAAGGAAAUUAAAUGGCAGGCGUCAUUAUGUGACUUGAAUGUUACAUUCUACACUUUACAUAGUAAUUUCCAAGACUUUAUAUUGGGGGGAAAAGAAAAAUAGAGAACUUACUAUCUUCCGUGGUUUUCUUAGGGCCAUACAAGGCAAAUCCUUCAUAAGAAGUGCCAAGCUUCUGACAGGACAGUGGUAGACUGAAUGAGAUGUCCAAUGAGAAAUUUUAUUUUUCAACUGUGAUACAUAGUUGUAAAUAACUUUUUAAAAAUUUGCUUCAUGUGUUAGCCUGGAGCAUCCUAUAGCGCUAGAGGGGGUUGGGGUGCAUAGAAAGAACACAGAAGCCAAUCUGAACGAGCUCCUGAUGGCCACGGCUGGAACCAUUUAAGUAAAACAUUAAAUUAGGAUAGUAUUGGAUUAUAACCCAAAGAAUAAAGUAAGUAUCUAUGAGACCAUAUUGCUAUAAAUAAAUGACUGGAUAAAUAAAUAAAAGGAGGAAAAGGCACAACUGUGCUUUACAGAAGAAUUCCAACUCAUGAUUGUAGGAUGAACGAAGGAAAUAGAAAACUCACCAUUACAGAACCACAGGAAUAAUUGCUACAGCCAGGAUUCCCUGGAGAAUGCUCAAGUUAGUGGGUGAAAGUGUAAGUCGCAUGGUUUCAAAAUAUCUUCCCCCAGGUGUUUCUUAAUUACAAAAAAAAAAAAAAAAAAAAAAAAAUCUCCAGCAGAGAAACUACCUUAACCAAGAAAGUU
This is a long non-coding RNA of Mirounga angustirostris (Northern elephant seal), 4659 nucleotides long. RefSeq lists it as uncharacterized. The record is from RefSeq and is a predicted model, not a curated record. The transcript has 3 exons. NCBI's taxonomy places the organism in Eukaryota, Metazoa, Chordata, Mammalia, Carnivora, Phocidae.